GUUUAAAUAAAACAUUACAUUUUCAUUGUAAAAAUAAAAUAAAUAAUUUUUAUAUAUAAUUUA
This 63-nucleotide transfer RNA is filed under the name Yoma sabina. RNAcentral describes it as "tRNA-Glu". The record is from RNAcentral. Lineage: Eukaryota; Metazoa; Arthropoda; Insecta; Lepidoptera; Nymphalidae.